Molecule: ribosomal RNA, 253 nt
Filed under: uncultured bacterium
Lineage: Bacteria
Description: partial 16S ribosomal RNA
Rfam family: Bacterial small subunit ribosomal RNA
Source: RNAcentral
UACGUAGGGUGCGAGCGUUAAUCGGAAUCACUGGGCUUAAAGGGCGCGUAGGCGGGCUGUCAAGUUUGGGGUGAAAUCCCGCGGCUCAACCGUGGAACUGCCUCAAAUACUGACGGCCUCGAGGAAGGUAGGGGCAUGCGGAACUGUAGGUGGAGCGGUGAAAUGCGUUGAUAUCUACAGGAACUCCGGUGGCGAAAGCGGCGUGCUGGACCUUUUCUGACGCUGAGGCGCGAAAGCUAGGGGAGCAAACGGG